This is a long non-coding RNA of Sebastes umbrosus (honeycomb rockfish), 343 nucleotides long. RefSeq lists it as uncharacterized. Lineage: Eukaryota; Metazoa; Chordata; Actinopteri; Perciformes; Sebastidae. The record is from RefSeq and is a predicted model, not a curated record. The transcript has 2 exons.
CUCCACCAGACCAGUUGGUCUUGUGUUGGUUUCAGCACCGGACAGCUCCAACCGCCGCUGUCCGUUCAGCACCGGAGAGAAAAGAGAGAAGAAGAAGAAGAAGUUUCCGCCGACACACUCCGGGUGGAAAUUCCCACGCAGGACGCAGGGGGAACAAAGGAUUUCCAUGACACAAGGGGCCCAGGACAGGACUGAAGGGAGGAGGAGGAGGGGUUGGAGGAGGAAGGGAUAAAUUAGGAGAACGUACCCCAGCAGAGCGGCGAACAGACUCUGGAGGAGCAGAGACAACAGAAGAGGGGAUCAGAGGAUAAAUGAGGAAUAAAUGACAGGAAAGUUUUAGAAA